Molecule: ribosomal RNA, 253 nt
Filed under: uncultured bacterium
Lineage: Bacteria
Description: partial 16S ribosomal RNA
Rfam family: Bacterial small subunit ribosomal RNA
Source: RNAcentral
UACGUAGGGUCCAAGCGUUAAUCGGAAUUACUGGGCGUAAAGCGUGCGCAGGCGGUUCGUUAAGUCAGCUGUGAAAGCCCCGGGCUCAACCUGGGAAUUGCGGUUGAAACUGGCGAACUAGAAUCUGGCAGAGGGGGGUGGAAUUCCACGUGUAGAAGUGAAAUGCGUAGAGAUGUGGAGGAACACCGAUGGCGAAGGCAGCCCCCUGGGCUGAGAUUGACGCUCAGGCACGAAAGCGUGGGGAGCAAACAGG